Molecule: ribosomal RNA, 1380 nt
Filed under: uncultured bacterium
Lineage: Bacteria
Description: bacterial SSU rRNA
Rfam family: Bacterial small subunit ribosomal RNA
Source: RNAcentral
CCUGGCUCAGGAUGAACGCUAGCUACAGGCUUAACACAUGCAAGUCGAGGGGCAGCAUGGUCUUAGCUUGCUAAGACUGAUGGCGACCGGCGCACGGGUGAGUAACACGUAUCCAACCUGCCGUCUACUCUUGGACAGCCUUCUGAAAGGAAGAUUAAUACAAGAUGGCAUCAUGAGUCCGCAUGUUCACAUGAUUAAAGGUAUUCCGGUAGACGAUGGGGAUGCGUUCCAUUAGAUAGUAGGCGGGGUAACGGCCCACCUAGUCUUCGAUGGAUAGGGGUUCUGAGAGGAAGGUCCCCCACAUUGGAACUGAGACACGGUCCAAACUCCUACGGGAGGCAGCAGUGAGGAAUAUUGGUCAAUGGGCGAGAGCCUGAACCAGCCAAGUAGCGUGAAGGAUGACUGCCCUAUGGGUUGUAAACUUCUUUUAUAAAGGAAUAAAGUCGGGUAUGGAUACCCGUUUGCAUGUACUUUAUGAAUAAGGAUCGGCUAACUCCGUGCCAGCAGCCGCGGUAAUACGGAGGAUCCGAGCGUUAUCCGGAUUUAUUGCGUUAAAGGGAGCGUAGAUGGAUGUUUAAGUCAGUUGUGAAAGUUUGCGGCUCAACCGUAAAAAUGCAGUUGAUACUGGAUAUCUUGAGUGCAGUUGAGGCAGGCGGAAUUCGUGGUGUAGCGGUGAAAUGCUUAGAUAUCACGAAGAACUCCGAUUGCGAAGGCAGCCUGCUAAGCUGCAACUGACAUUGAGGCUCGAAAGUGUGGGUAUCAAACAGGAUUAGAUACCCUGGUAGUCCACACGGUAAACGAUGAAUACUCGCUGUUUGCGAUAUACUGCAAGCGGCCAAGCGAAAGCGUUAAGUAUUCCACCUGGGGAGUACGCCGGCAACGGUGAAACUCAAAGGAAUUGACGGGGGCCCGCACAAGCGGAGGAACAUGUGGUUUAAUUCGAUGAUACGCGAGGAACCUUACCCGGGCUUAAAUUGCAGAUGAAUUACGGUGAAAGCCGUAAGCCGCAAGGCAUCUGUGAAGGUGCUGCAUGGUUGUCGUCAGCUCGUGCCGUGAGGUGUCGGCUUAAGUGCCAUAACGAGCGCAACCCUUGUUGUCAGUUACUAACAGGUUCCGCUGAGGACUCUGACAAGACUGCCAUCGUAAGAUGUGAGGAAGGUGGGGAUGACGUCAAAUCAGCACGGCCCUUACGUCCGGGGCUACACACGUGUUACAAUGGGGGGUACAGAGGGCCGCUACCACGCGAGUGGAUGCCAAUCCCCAAAACCUCUCUCAGUUCGGACUGGAGUCUGCAACCCGACUCCACGAAGCUGGAUUCGCUAGUAAUCGCGCAUCAGCCACGGCGCGGUGAAUACGUUCCCGGGCCUUGUACACACCGCC